Long non-coding RNA from Phascolarctos cinereus (koala), 2526 nucleotides. The record is from Ensembl. NCBI's taxonomy places the organism in Eukaryota, Metazoa, Chordata, Mammalia, Diprotodontia, Phascolarctidae.
CGCUGCUCAGGUUUUGAAAGCCAGCAUUUCAUGCUGCUCCCCAGAGAGCCAGCAGCAGCUUCAUCAGAAUCCAUCUGUACAGCAGUCACAUUGCUGAAAUCUUCAGCCAACCCAGGAUUCAUUUAUUUAUUUUCUGGGAGAAGAAGGGGGGGAGCGAGAAGGAGAAGGAGGAAGCGGAGGUGAAAAGAAUUGAUUAGAAUCCCUUCAUAUUUAACACAUACAUACGCUUGACCAAUCCCUAAGUACGAGGUGGUGAGUCAGGGGUGGGGGCUUACUUUGAUCAAUUUCGCGAUGAGUCAGAGCUGUCAGUGGGUGAGUGAAUAAGAACAGUAAGACAACAAGGGGAUGUCGGGCUGGGAGGUGAGAAGCAGAAAGGAUACACUCGAUAAGUUACAGUGCUGCUCAGCAGACUGCGUUGGGGCACUGCUCGGACUGAUGGGGAACAGCAGGGAGCAAAGCUUUAUAGAUGAGAAACCCGGGGCGUGGGGACCAGACAGAAGAUGUUUUCUAGCGAGGAUAACGGGGACCAUCAAUUCCCCAGCUCCUGCCACUGCCUCCCUUUCACCUUUUCCAGAUCGCAAAGAGUCGAGAAGAAAAGCAGAAUUGCCUCAAUGACAUUCCAGGCAAGCCACCAUGGGGAAGCUGAUGCUUCAAUAGGGCCAACGGAUGUUUUGAUUGAGUCCAGCUGUGUCUGUGUUCCCACACUCCAAAGGCCGCUGGGAUCAGAGAGGCUGUAUGGCAGCAUUUACCACCUAAGAAGUGUGAGAUGGCCUUCUUUACACGGGGAAAGAUAUUGUUGGGCAGAUAUUGAUGGUUGAACAGACGUAUGCUGGGUUUUCUUUGCUGUAAACUUGUGGUUUUUGGAUCAGGAAAGCAUUGUUCCUGGAGUCUCUUCACAGCAGGAUUGGGAAUUGGUAAAUACAAAAGGGGGAAAAAAGAAAUCUUUCAUGAAGUGCUUCCUGAUAAAGUAGAGUCAGUUGUAGUUCAGAUUAAUUCAUGCCUCAGGGACAUUGGGAUAUAGAAUAACAUAUUUUUCACUGUAACAUCGGGGUUGGUUUUAUCCCCUUUCAAAGUUCUAAUAGGGGUUACCUUGGCUUCCUUCUUGCCUAAUAAGUAAAGUUCAAACUCCUUAGCAUGAUCUUCAAGGCCUUACACAAUCUAGUCUCAGUUUACCUUUAUAAGUCUGUCUCCUUUACAUGUACCACAUUGACCUGGGAUAGCAGAAAGAACACUGGCUUUGGAGUCAGCAGACCUAGAUUCAAAUCUGAUGGCUACUGCCUCCCGAGUUGCUUUUUCUGAAAAAUGAAGGAAUUGGACUGUAUGGCCUGUGAGAUCCCUUGAAUCAAUCUGACAUGACAUGUCUGAUUGAAAUACUCACUGUUCCCUGAAAAUGCCUAGUCCUUUUCUGCCUCUGUCCCUUUCUUCAACCUUCUCCUCUCUUAAAACAUCUCCCCUUUCACCUCUGCCCUUUGAAAUCAUAGUUUCAUAGAUUUGGAGCUAGAAAAGACCUUACAAAUCAUCUAAUCUAACCCUCUCAUUUUGCAGAUGAGGAAUCUGAGACCCAGAGAAUCCCCUAAGGCUGCACAACUAGUAAGUGGUAAUGUCAGGAUUUGAACCCAGGGUCUCUCUGAAGCCAAUCCACUGCAUUUCACUCCCCCCCCCCCAAAUCGUAGCCAUCCUUCACAGCUCGGCUCAAAAAACCACCAAUUUAAAAGUCCUCCCUGAUUACUCUAUCAAGAAAUGAAAAAUUCAGAAGCUAAAGAGCUUGGAGAAGGAAGGAAGGAAACAUUGAUUAGGUACCUACUAUAUGCUAAAUGUUUUAAAAAUAUAAUGUCAUUUGAUCCACAAACCAACCCUGGAAUGUGGGUGCUAUUAUUAUUCCCAUUUUACAGUUGAGGGAACUGAGGCUGACAGUAGUUAAAUGACUUGCCCAGGGUCCCACACCUAGUAAGGUUACAUUUGAAUGCAGGGCUUACUGACUCCAGGCUCAGCAUUCUAGCUGCUUUGCCACCCAGAUGCCUAGGAGAAAGGGGAGUCUGUAUUUGCUUUUUUUUUUUUUGUUCUCCCUUUUCUCCACUGAAGAGAAAUGCCCAAAUUCCUGUCCUAGCUACAAGAGCAAGAAGGCAUAUCACCUUGGGCAAACCACUUAAACUUUCAGUUGCCUCAGUUUAUUGAAAAAUGGUGGAGAACUUUGUACACAGUAACAACAACGCUGUAUGAUGAUCAACUGUGAAAGAUUUAGCUCUUCCCAGCAAUACAAUGAUCCAAGACAAUUCCAAAGGACUCAUGAAGAUUGCUAUUCACACAGGAAGAAUGAACUGAUAGAAUCUGAAUGAAGAUCAAAGCAUACUAGUUUCACUUUCUUUAUUUUUUUGUGGUUUUAUUUGGUCUGUUUCUUCUUUCACAACAUGACUAAUAUGAAUUUUUUUUACAUGAUUGUACAUCUGUAACCUAUAUCAAAUUGCUCACUGUCUUAGUAGGGAGGGAAAAAAUAAAGGAAGGAAAAAAUUUGGAACUUAAAAUUUU